AAGGUUCUAGCUUAAUUAAAGUAUCUGAGUUGCAUUCAGGGGAUGCAGGUUAGUGUCUUAGCGAAUCUUA
This 70-nucleotide transfer RNA is filed under the name Columba janthina nitens. RNAcentral describes it as "tRNA-Ala". Lineage: Eukaryota; Metazoa; Chordata; Aves; Columbiformes; Columbidae. The record is from RNAcentral.